Molecule: ribosomal RNA, 413 nt
Filed under: uncultured bacterium
Lineage: Bacteria
Description: bacterial SSU rRNA
Rfam family: Bacterial small subunit ribosomal RNA
Source: RNAcentral
AACGAACGCUGGCGGCAGGCCUAACACAUGCAAGUCGAGCGCCCCGCAAGGGGAGCGGCGGACGGGUGAGUAACGCGUGGGAAUUUUCCUCAAGGUACGGAACAACUCAGGGAAACUUGGGCUAAUACCGUAUGAUGUCUAGCGACCAAAGAUUUAUCGCCUUGGGAUAAGCCCGCGUCAGAUUAGGUAGUUGGUGGGGUAACGGCCUACCAAGCCUGCGAUCUGUAGCUGGUCUGAGAGGACGAUCAGCCACACUGGGACUGAGACACGGCCCAGACUCCUACGGGAGGCAGCAGUGGGGAAUCUUGCGCAAUGGGCGAAAGCCUGACGCAGCCAUGCCGCGUGAAUGAUGAAGGUCUUAGGAUUGUAAAGUUCUUUCGCCCGUGACGAUGAUGACGGUAACGGGAGAAGAA